Molecule: ribosomal RNA, 584 nt
Filed under: Candida tropicalis CBS 94
Lineage: Eukaryota; Fungi; Ascomycota; Pichiomycetes; Serinales; Debaryomycetaceae
Description: partial 28S ribosomal RNA
Rfam family: Eukaryotic large subunit ribosomal RNA
Source: RNAcentral
GGAAAAGAAACCAACAGGGAUUGCCUUAGUAGCGGCGAGUGAAGCGGCAAAAGCUCAAAUUUGAAAUCUGGCUCUUUCAGAGUCCGAGUUGUAAUUUGAAGAAGGUAUCUUUGGGUCUGGCUCUUGUCUAUGUUUCUUGGAACAGAACGUCACAGAGGGUGAGAAUCCCGUGCGAUGAGAUGAUCCAGGCCUAUGUAAAGUUCCUUCGAAGAGUCGAGUUGUUUGGGAAUGCAGCUCUAAGUGGGUGGUAAAUUCCAUCUAAAGCUAAAUAUUGGCGAGAGACCGAUAGCGAACAAGUACAGUGAUGGAAAGAUGAAAAGAACUUUGAAAAGAGAGUGAAAAAGUACGUGAAAUUGUUGAAAGGGAAGGGCUUGAGAUCAGACUUGGUAUUUUGUAUGUUACUUCUUCGGGGGUGGCCUCUACAGUUUAUCGGGCCAGCAUCAGUUUGGGCGGUAGGAGAAUUGCGUUGGAAUGUGGCACGGCUUCGGUUGUGUGUUAUAGCCUUCGUCGAUACUGCCAGCCUAGACUGAGGACUGCGGUUUAUACCUAGGAUGUUGGCAUAAUGAUCUUAAGUCGCCCGUCUU